UAACCUUCAAGCCUAGCUUGGUCUUGGAGUCGCUAGCUAGCGGCCCCUAAAUUCAGUGGCGGUGCCUGUAGGCUCUACGCGUAGUAAUCUCUCUCGCGACGGAGCCCUAUAAGUGCUUGCCAACAACCCCAAUUUUUUCA
Molecule: unclassified non-coding RNA, 140 nt
Filed under: uncultured Ascomycota
Lineage: Eukaryota; Fungi; Ascomycota
Description: sequence contains ITS2
Source: RNAcentral